GUGUCAUUACAAAGAAGGUUUGUUGAACUGUGAAACCAGGGACUCUGAAUGCUAUGACCAAAGAUUGAAGUUCUCCGUGGAAUGCCACACUCACUCAGUAGUGCUGUAUUUUCCCGGGGAGAUAAAAUA
This is a small nucleolar RNA of Heterocephalus glaber (naked mole-rat), 129 nucleotides long. NCBI's taxonomy places the organism in Eukaryota, Metazoa, Chordata, Mammalia, Rodentia, Bathyergidae. The record is from Ensembl.